GCACCUUCACCAGCAAAAAAGCUAACUUCUCCGACCGAACACAUGACUUAUGCCCUAUGAUGACUAUUAAAUCAACCAAUAGCUGAAGAAAUCCACUUUCCUUUUUUAUAAAGUUUUCUUUCUCUCUAGUUAAUAAUGAACAACUUUACUUCAGGAAAGGAUUUUGUUAUUGUAAGUAGAGGAGAGACACAAAAGUAAUGAAGUAACAUUAAUUGAGACUUACUGUGACAACACAAGAUUGUCAUAUUCAACUCUCCCAAUAGCUCUACAAGCUUCAUGCCUGUGACUUCAUAAUCUCAAGAGGAACCAACUCAAAAAAUUCGACAUUCCAGAUCUUCAGAUGCAAGAACCUAAGUGUAAACCAAGUAUUCUGAGAAUUAAAAUCCUGACACUUACAGAUA
Long non-coding RNA from Homo sapiens (human), 401 nucleotides. RefSeq lists it as uncharacterized. The record is from RefSeq and is a predicted model, not a curated record. Lineage: Eukaryota; Metazoa; Chordata; Mammalia; Primates; Hominidae. The transcript is spliced from 2 exons.